UUUCCGUAGGUGAACCUGCGGAAGGAUCAUUAUUGAAUAACCUAGGUACGAGGGCUGUCGCUGACCCGAAAGGUCGUGCACGCCCGAGUGCCCUCACACACAUCCAUCUCACCCCUAUGUGCACCACCGCUUGGGUCCCCCUUUGGCUUUUUCGGAGGGGGGCUUACGUUUUCACACAAACUUUGUAUGCAGUGUAGAAUGUAUUUUUUGUUUUUGCGAUCACGCAAUCAAUACAACUUUCAACAACGGAUCUCUUGGCUCUC
This 263-nucleotide unclassified non-coding RNA is filed under the name plant metagenome. Its description in RNAcentral is "partial contains small subunit ribosomal RNA, internal transcribed spacer 1, and 5.8S ribosomal RNA". The record is from RNAcentral.